UUAAUGCCCAUGGAUUCAGUUAAAAAUGGUGUAAACACUCGAAACAUAGUCAAAUUUUGGCAUGUACACUGAAGUUGCACAUUUAAAUUCUCAAAAUUCAACUGCUCCUCAUAUUAGGCCAUCAAAUAAUGUUCAGUAUACAGAAUUAACAAAUGAUCCAGCAAUAACAAUUCAACUAUAGUUCCUCGGAUGGUAAAUAUAAUAUAUUAUUAAAUUAAUUUAAUUCUAAGUUUUUCUUUUAAAAUAAUUCAGCAAUAUAUUGAAUGAAUUUAGCGGAUUUGUUUAAUAAUUUUAAAUUAAAUUAUAAAAUAAUAUUUAACUUUUUUAUAGUCAAUGUGAUUUGAAUAUCUCCCAAUAUAUAUUAAAGGCAUUUAUAUAAAAUAAAAAAAAAUUCAUGUGUUUUAUCUAAAAAAAAAAAAAAAAAUAGUUACUUAGGUACCUACUAUAUAAUAUAUACUUCUGUCAUGAUUUACAAAUAAAUAUGUAUUAUUACUUUGUUUAGGGCUAUGAAUCAACUACAUAAAAGUCUCACAGUUUGCCAUUAAGUUGAAACUUCACUUCAUUGCCAGUCUUUGAUGGUAAACAUAUUUUGUUUUAUAAUAGUUUCUAUUUAUCAACUUUUAAUCAAUAUUUAUAAAUAACUAUUGUUUUUACUUGCUAGAACAUAGUAUGUCUAGUAUGAUGGAACUAAUGAACAAUAUAACUAGAGAUCAGAAUAUAAUUAUACUAGGACAAGAACAAAUUUUAUCUAAAUUAGAACUACUCAAAAUUAAUUCUAAAACUGGAAGAUAGAAUUAUU
Non-coding RNA from Cinara cedri, 799 nucleotides. NCBI's taxonomy places the organism in Eukaryota, Metazoa, Arthropoda, Insecta, Hemiptera, Aphididae. The record is from the annotation of a GenBank genome assembly.